This 305-nucleotide ribosomal RNA is filed under the name uncultured bacterium. RNAcentral's name for it is "bacterial SSU rRNA". It matches the Rfam family "Bacterial small subunit ribosomal RNA", at positions 336 to 659 of the family's 1533-position model. The record is from RNAcentral.
CCUCUACGGGACGCAGCAGUGGGGAAUAUUGCACAAUGGGGGGAACCCUGAUGCAGCGACGCCGCGUGGGCGAUGGAGUAUUUCGGUAUGUAAAGCCCUAUCGGCAGGGAAGAAACUGACAGUACCUGACUAAGAAGCAUCGGCUAACUCCGUGCCAGCAGCCGCGGUAAUACGGAGGAUGCGAGCGUUAUCCGGAUUUAUUGGGUUUAAAGGGUGCGCAGGCGGCACGGCAAGCCGGCGGUCAAAUCGCGGGGCUCAACCCCGCCCAGCCGUCGGAACUGCCGGGCUAGAGUGGGCGAGAAGGG